CCACCCGGAUUAGAAAAUUUAUUCCUUUUGAAGUAUUUGCAAUUGAAUAUCCCUUCGCUCAAAUGCCUUCCUUCGCUGCUAUGCACCCUUUUAAACCUUCAAACACUAGAAAUGCCAUCUAGCUACAUAGAUCAUUCACCAGAGGGUAUUUGGAUGAUGCAAAAACUCAUGCAUCUGAACUUCUGUUGCAUCACUCUGCCUGCACCUCCCAAAAAUUAUUCCAGUUCUCUGAAAAAUCUCAUUUUCAUAUCAGCCUUACACCCUAGUAGUUGUACUCCAGAUAUAUUGGGCAGACUACCUAAUGUGCAAAGUCUUAGAAUAUCUGGGGAUUUGAGUCACUAUCAUUCCGGGGUUUCCAAAAGCCUGUGCGAACUACACAAACUUGAAUGCCUGAAAUUGGUGAAUGAAAGCAAGCUCUCACGGAUGGUCCUGUCUGAAUACCAAUUUCCUCCAAGUCUGGUCCAACUGAGCUUAUCAAAUACUGAGCUAAUGGAGGAUCCCAUGCCAAUACUGGAGAGGCUUCCGCGUCUUCAAGUGCUGAAACUGAAGCGAAACUCGUAUUUAGGAAGAAAGUUGGCCUGCGUUGGCUCUGGUGGCUUUCCAGAACUUAAGGUUUUGCACCUGAAAUCAAUGUAUUGGCUAGAUGAGUGGACGAUGGCGGCAGGAGCAAUGCCAAAACUUGAAAGCUUAAUUAUGAACCCUUGUGCAUACUUGAGAAAGCUUCCUGAGGAGCUACGGUGCAGAAAGAGCUUACGUAAAUUGGAGUUACAUUGGCCUCAGCCUGAGUUGAGGCAAAGGCUACGAGCUUUUGAGAAUAUGGAGUGGCGGUAUGACAUCCAGUUUUAUCCUUCUGGAAUCUAACGGAUUGAAAGAGGUGAGUUUUACUCAGUAGAUUUAUAAAUGUAUAAUUUAUCGUAAAACCUUCAAAGGUUCAAAUUUUAAUUUUUUAUCGUAAUUUCCUGACUUUUGUAGGAAAAAUCCAAGUGGAAAGCAUCAUAUAUAAUUGCCGUCUGGCUUUCAAUUUCAACUGCAAUUCAGCAUUGAUCCGUUUAAUUAUCUUCAUUUCAGCUGCCUUUUGGGGGCACUAUUUUGAAGCAGAUUUACCGCUAGUAAUUCCAUGGUUAGUCUAUUGUCUAUAAACUUGAAUAAGGUAUGUUUUUGCUUUUGUUGAUGUGGAUUUUGUGUUUUAGGAACUGUUGUGCGAUUAGGACUCCAGUUAAGUGUUGUUCAUGAAUAAAGGGUUUGGCUGUCCUUGGACUGUAUGGAAAAAGACAUCUAGUCAAAUUUUCAUCAAGUCACUGAGGGAAUUGCACCAAUGUAAAUAAUCCUCAGUGCCGUCAUGCUUUAUUUGAAUUUGAAUUUGUAUGACAAAAGGAUAUGUAUGAACUGUAAUUUGCAAAUUUGCCGUCUUACUUCUAAUCCCUCCCCAGAAGACUACAAAUUAUAAGGUAAAGUCUGGACCGGCAUUCGUGGGCUAAAUUGCAGACCAGCAGAUGCUUGAUCUUGAAGGUACUAAAACAUAUUUAUCUAAAUUUAAAUUAAUUUCCACUGCCAAUUUGUACUUUCAAUCCCCAAAAACGGUCCAAAAAUGCUAGAUAUGGCCUAAAUACUAAGGAUAUGGAGUCGCGGUUUGACAUCCACAUAUUGCCUUAUGGAACCCAAUUGAUUAAUUGGGGAGAGUUAUACUAUCUUAUCUGAUAACUCAACCUUUAGUUACGUGCCUGAUUUGGUAUGCCUUUUUCCGUUUCCUGAUUGUCUAACUGUCGUAUGAUUCGUUCCAAUUAAGUUUUCUUCAUUCGGGUGUGGUUUGCUCUGCUGUCUCAAAUUCAUCAAUGUGAAUAUGACACUCUUCAUUAAUAUUCCAAUUAAGCACUUCAGCUCGGAUGUGUAUUAUCUUUACUUAUUUUUCAGCUUUAUGCCUUUAGCUAUGGGAUAACUUUAGCCAUAUGCCAGUUACAAUCUCAAGAUUUGUGCAGAAGACUGCUUUUAUAAUUGUAAAUUUGUAAUGUUACUUGUAGUCCCUCAACGGCAAGACUCUAAAUAAGUAAGGUAAAGUUCAUUGAACAUGCAGCUUUUCUGCAAAUCAGGUCUUUGCACAAAUUAAAAUCCAGUUGUGGUCAAUGGAAAAUUGAUUGUUGACUUCCAUUUUUCCAAACAAGCCAACAGUACCCUAACACAAUCAACCCAAGCUUUUAAAGAGGAUACAAAUUUGCAGAAGCCACCAGAGUUGCAUCAACUAUUGGAGUUAGUGCAGAUAAGACUACUGAUGCACAAAAAUGGAAAUUAACAAUCAACUUGAGCAAAACCAUAAAAAUGCCGGGGUAGUUAAGGUUGCUUCCAACGCAAGCCUCAACUCGAGUAGCGAAACAGAGGGGGUAAGCCACACAAUGUAGCAGAGAAACAAAGAAAUAUCAUUCUGUAUUCUAUCUAAUAACUAUUUUACAUUCAUAACCGCAGCCAGGCUUCCCAAGUCAACUGUAAUUCAGCAUCGAUCCUUUACAUACAUUUCAUUUCAGCCGUCAUUUCGGGAAGUUGUUUUGAAUUGGAUUUGCGAGUUUGAUGAAGUGAGACUGCGAGUAUUGUUGCAGAUUUCAAUGUAUUUCAAUGUGAUGCGCACGUGACUCACUCAUUCUCAUUUGACCACAUCAAACUUCAGUCAAAGUUGUUACUAAUCGCGGCAAAGUUUGUUUAUGCAGUUUCUGUUUUGUACUUUAAAAACAUAGAUGUAAUCAUCACUACAUUAACAAAUAAUCAUAAUUAAAGCAAUCACCUUCCAAUUUUUGGAAAUGUCGACAGAAAUCUUUGUACAGGAGUGCGGUAAUGACAUACAAUUAUUAUAAUGGAACUUUACCUUUAGGAAACUUAAGAUGUCCUAUUUUCAAAAGGCAUCAAGGACUAACUUUUUUUCAUUCCCAUACUUUAUCUCAGUUAAUUUAUUUAAGAAUCUUCGCAUUACAAUCUGGUCACCAUGAUUUAUUUUCAUUUUAUUUUGAGACAAAAGAAUUGUUUUUAAAUUCUCAUCAGCAAAUGUACAUUGCUUUCGUUUUUGGAUUGGCAAAAACAGGGUAAAAUAAUAAUUAAACAAGAUUUCAGGACAUCAGCAUCUUAUUCUUUUCUUGAACCAAGUCUUUGUUUUGUUUAGCUUUUGUUAAGAUGCUUUAUUAACCUUCCUCCUUUUUCCUAUUGCUAGUAUGGUAUCAUUGUUCAUUUCUUGAACCGAGAUAUUUGCCUUUCCUUGGAAGUAAAGCUUAAAUGCUCUUUCGCCUUUCCUCCCUUUUUCUCUUAACUUGUGUUUUCUUAUGCGAUCGUUUUCAAUUGUACCAAACACCACUCAUUUAUCAAUAUCCAGUUUGAAUAAAAUUCUACAUUUUGAUUUUUCUGCUUCUUCCACAUAAUUGUUUGAUUGUGGUGCUUUCAGUCAGAGUUAGAUAUCAUCAGGACAUUAAAUCUUUGAUUACUCGAUCAAUUAAUAACAGGUAUUUUAUUAUCUGAAUUAUUCAUAAACUAACUUCAUUUUAUUUAUUUUUAUCUCAUGAAUGUUAGAUCCACUUUAGGUUUGUGAUUAAUUAUUUUUCGCAAGUUAUAUUUUUUUAUUUUCAUUUUCAUAAGUAUCAAAAUCAUCACUAUCAUGAUUCAUGCACACGUUGCUUGCAAUUUUAUUGUGUAAAAAUCAUCACCCACAAAUAAUAUUAAAUGAAAUUCACUCGCACAUUAAAAAAUAUGUGCAUAUAAUUUUUUUUAAAACCAUUAUUCUCCCUUGGAGCUUACUAUUAUUUAGUACACGAAAUAAAUAAAUAAAUAGAUAAAUAACUUGAUGGAGUUGUUUGCGAAUAGGAAUUAGUAUUUAUUUAGUUUCGUGUUUCUGCAUUACUAUUAUCUUCUUUGUUAUAUUUGCUUUUAUCCUCAAAUGUUGUUUUUGUAUUUGUUUUAUAAUAAAGAUACGAUUAGUUUCUAGAUAAUAUUAAAGCACGUUGGUAGCCUUUGUUAAAAUAGCAUUUGAAAAUGAAAUUUGUAAAAAUGUGUUUGGCAAUUCUUUUGGAAAAAUUAUAAAAUAAAUUAUUGUGGGACUCAUCUUAUUUCCAUUCAUUCCUUGCACAACGCAUUAUCCUGAUUGAUUAAAGUGUUAUUUCAAUGUUAUUUUCACCAAAUCCAAGAACAUGUCAGAAAAGCACUUUGUGAAAUAUGUUCUUCAUUCUAAUAUUUUCGCCAAAUAGAAAAAUACCAAACAGCUCCUUAGUUAGAGAUAGUUAUUUGACAACACAAGUACUCUGUUUUGCAUAUAUUUAUAUAUUUCUAAUAGCUUUGCUUUGCAAAUUCCUACUAAACAGUAUAAGUGAGAGAAGGAGACAUGCUGGACGUCCAUCUCCGACUAUUUUGUGAGAGGUUGAAAAGGGUGUUAGCAGGUGAAGAGGGCGCGUUGCCGUUGGUUGAUUCAACAAAUUUAACUCCACUUUUUCAAAACCUUCUUACGGAGUCCGAAAUUAUUGCUACUACUCUGCUCGGGAACUAUGAAGGCGACAUGGCUCGUCAUUUGAUUCAACCCAUUGCAGACGAAUUCGAUGAAUCCAAAAUAUCUUUGCCUUUUUUGCAACUGUUGGACAUAGAAGAAAGCGAUGAAGACGUUGAAAGACCAGACAUUUUGGAAAUUCUGGAGGACAUCAAUGACUUUGUCCAUGAAUCUGAGGAAGCCAUUGACACAUUCAUCAUCAACAUCAUGCAGCAGCAAAACAGUGAAAUCGAAAGUGAGAGCAGUACUAAUAUGGCUCUUCUUAUUGGACUCCACAGUAAAAUCAUUGAUAUUAGAAAUCGGAUGCAACAACUUCCACCCAGCGACAAUGGUUUUGAUAUCAGUGAACAAAGUAACAUAAUCAUUCGCCAAUUGAGUGAGGGACAGCCUCAGCUUGAUGUCAGUGAAUUUGAAAGGGGCAGAGAGAAGUUGUUUGAUCUAUUGAUUGAGGGACCAUCUGGGCUUUCGGUGGUUGCAAUUCUCGACAGCAAUGGCUUCGAUAAGACUGCUUUUGCUGCUGAUACUUACAAUAAUAAUCAUGUCAAGUUCUAUUUUGACUGUCUUGCUUGGGUCAGGGUUUCUCUACUCUACGAUUUUCUCAAGAUAUUGGAUGACAUAAUCAAGUCUGUGAUGCCUCCAUCUCGGGUUAGUGUAAUUAUCGGUGAAGAUUAUCAAUUGAAGAAAUCUAUUCUUCGAGAUUACCUAACAAACAAGAAGUACUUUAUUGUGCUUGAUGACGUCUUCGAUUACAGCGAGAUAUGGAGUGAUCUUGUAGAACUUCUUCCCGAUUAUCAGAAUGGAAGCAGAGUAUUGAUAUUGGUCAAUGAUGCAUCCCUCCUUACCUCGUUCGAAUUGGAGCAUGGAGAGAAGAUUCGGCUUAAUUCAGCGCUCGUUGGAGGACCACUGAUUAGAAUAAAGUAUGAAGGCUGGCAAUUUUUCAUCCUACACUAUGGAAGCGCGCCAUUAGAAAAUUAUAUUCGAGGCGAAGCGAUGACAAUUUGGAGACAAAUUUGUUCUGUGAUGGAGUUACCUUUUCACUUGAAAGUCUGCUGCAUCUAUUUGUGUGUCUUCCCUCCAAGUAUUAAGAUAUCUACGAGGCAAUUAUAUCAGUUGUGGAUAGCUGAAUGUUUCAUCCCAUACAACAGUGAAGAAACUGCCAAACAUUACUUGAAAGAACUAAUCCAACGCGGCUUCAUUCAAGUGAGUAAGAGAAGAGCCGGCGGCACAAUUAAAGCGUGUUAUGUUCCAAGUCUUGCAUUUACUUCAUUGGCUUUGAUGGCAGAAAAGACGAUAUUUGUCUGGAAUCCUGGCAUGGAAGAGGAAUCACUGUCAAAUGUUAAACGGUGCUUCAUUUGGGAAAGUCUGAUUGACUUCUUUUCUUUGAAACAUUCUGACAUGUACCUCCAAUCUUUUCUGAAUCACAGUUCAGAAAGCGAUCAUCUUGCUCUGAUAGAUUGUGAGAAUUUUUGUAAAAAGUUCAAACACCUUCGGGUACUGGACUUGGGUUCUGCAGUUCUCGACCAAUAUCCACCCGGAUUAGAAAAUUUAUUCUAUUUGAAGUAUUUGAAAUUGAAUAUUCCAUCGCUCAAAUGUCUUCCUUCACUGCUAUGCACCCUUUUAAACCUUCAAACACUAGAAAUGCCAUCAAGCUACAUAGAUCAUUCAUCAGAGGAUAUUUGGAUGAUGCAAAAACUCAUGCAUCUGAACUUUGGAUCCAUCACUCUGCCUGCACCUCCAAAAAAUUAUUCCAGCUCUCUGAAAAAUCUCAUUUUCAUAUCAGCCUUACACCCUAGUAGUUGUACUCCAGAUAUAUUAAGCAGACUCCCUACUGUUCAAACACUUAGAAUAUCUGGAGAUUUGAGUCACUAUCAUUCUGGGGUUUCCAAAAGCCUAUGCGAACUGCACAAACUUGAAUGCUUGAAGCUGGCGAAUCAAGGCAAGAUGUGGCAGAUCACACGGAUGAUCCUGUCUGAAUACAAAUUUCCUCCAAGUCUGACCCAACUGAGCCUAUCAAAUACUGAGCUAAUUGAGGAUCCGAUGCCGACACUAGAAAAGCUUCCACACCUUGAGGUGCUGAAACUGAAGCAGAACUCGUACUUCGAAAGAAAGCUGGCUUGUGUUGGCUGUAGCAGUUUUCCUCAGCUCAAGAUUUUGCACCUAAAAUCAAUGCUAUGGCUGGAGGAGUGGACGAUGGGGGCAGGAGCAAUGCCAAAACUUGAAAGCUUAAUUUUGAACCCUUGUGCAUACUUGAGAAAGCUUCCUGAGGAGCUAUGGCGCAUAAAGAGCUUAUGCAAAUUGGAGUUACAUUGGCCUCAGCCAGAGUUGAGACAACGGCUACGAGCUUUUGAGGAUAUGGAGUGGCGGUAUGACAUCCAGUUAUAUCCUUCUGGAAUAUAACGGAUUGAAAGGGGUGAGAGUUUUACUUGAAAAUUAGUGAUAUGGUAUGACAUUGUUUCACCUACUCAAUAGAUUUAUAAAUGUGCUAUCUGUAGUAAAACCUUCAAGGGUUUAAAUUUUAAUUUAUGAUUCUAUGUCCUUUGACUUGUGUAGGAAAAGUAAAAGGGGGAAGCAUCAUAUAUAGCUGGAAUCUGGCUUUCAAUUUCAACUGUACUUUCAACAUUGAUCCGUUCAAUUCUCUUCAUUUCAGCUGCCUUGUUGGGACAUUAUUUUGAAGCGGAUUUUCCAUCAGUGAUGCCAUGGUUAUUCUAUUGUCCAUAAACUUGAAUAAGGUACGCUUUUGCUAAGAACUCUAAGAAAAAGACAUCUGGUCGCAGUUUCAUCAAUUGGCUGAGGGAAUUGCAACAAUGUAACUAAUGCCUCAGUGAACUCAUACCUUAUUUGAAUUUUAAUUGUAUGGCAAAAGGAUAUGUAUGAAUUAAAAUUUGCAAAUUAGUAGAGUUGUUUGUAAUCCCUCACCAGCAAGACUAUAACUUGUAAGGUAAAGCUCGGAUCAGCAUUCAUUGGCUAAACCGUAGACCAGAAAGGCUUGAUCUUGAACCGUGUGAUCGGUCCAAGAAAAUAAAUAUCACUUAAGUUACAUCAAUAAUUGGAGUAAUGUAGAUAAGAUCAAUAUUGCUCAAAAUAUAAUGUUCAAAGGAAAAGUAGACAAUGACUAGGAAUGAACAUAACUUUCUAUUUCAGACUUGGUUAAAACUUAAAAGAAAAAUAGGGGCCUGCAGACACCAAAAGGAUUAAAGGAAUCUCUUUUGAAAAGCGUUUGAAAGGAAUAAAAUGGGGUACUGAAGAUAAAGCAAUCAAAAAUCAAAGAUAAGCUAAUUGUAAUCCAACUAGAAGGCACUAAAAAUAUAUUUGUCUAAAUUUAAAUUUAAUUUCCACUGCCAAUUUGUAGUUUCAAUCCCCAAAAUGGAUCCAAAAAACUUCUCUGUCCCAAAACCUUUUCCCAAUCAAAUUCUAGAGCAAAAAUACGCAAGCAUACCAAUUCUGCCGUCUUCUACAUAUUAACUUAGCUUUCAUUGAAAUUCAAGAAAGCAAAAUGGCUAAAAGUCUAUGAAUGUUAACAAACAAAUCCACGAACCAAAACUACUCACAAAUAGUGUCUUUGAGCUCCAAAGUAACACCCAUGCAUAGCCAGCAUUUUAAUUCAGCCCAUGUGAUACAAGCUAUAAUUCAUUUGAAUUAUUUAUUAGAAAAGAGAAAAUAAGAUAAUUUUACGGAUAUUUCAAGUUACAUGUUUCACCGGCACACUUUAUGCCAAGUCCAUAAUGGUACAAAUAAUGUGUAACCUUAUGACCCACCCAAUAAUAGAAUCAGAUGUAGUAUGCACAAAUUGCACAAUCAAAAAAGCAUCCUACUGAUCCACCGAUUUAAUCUUUUAACCUUAUGACCCAACCAAUCUUGAUCUAUAACCUUUGCUUUCUGAUGUUUAACACAUUAUCCCAUCCUGGCCAAAAAUCUGAAAUGUUUUACGAGAGAAUUAAUCCGCUAAAUGGCUUUUGGCAGUUAAAAAAUAUUGCUUGAAUUAUAAAAAAUUGAUUCGAACAAGUUGACCUAACGGUUAUAUAAAUCUUGAUUUAGAUGAUAUCAAACUACAUAUUAAGGGUAAAAUAGAAAACAUACUCUUUUGAUCUCACUAGUUUUUGAAGGCAUAUAUCAUCUAUGUGAGCUCAAGUUCAAAGCAUUCGUGGUCAAAGCUCAUUAAAGUUAAGGACAAGCAUUAGAGAUACUAUCCAACAUAGGUAAUAUUUCUUGUCGCAUUUUUUGUAAGGCAGUAUGAUUAAAUGUGUGUAUGAUUAAGCAUUUAAAAGCUCAAUUUAUUAUCAUGAUCAUGGAACUUGACUUUGUUUUAUUUUCAUAUUGAAAAGUUUCUAGUCUUGAAUAAAAAAUGAAGAUCAAGUGUUUUUUAUCAAAAUGAUUGCCUUCAAGUAUGUGGACUAAUUUUUGGAGAAUUUGAAUGAUUAAACACUCAAAAACAAAUAUUGACCGUAUCUUUAGACCCCUACAAUUAGUUUUUAUCAAAAUGUUUCGUUUUCAUUAAACACUCAAAAACAAAUAGUACCACUCUUCCUUCAAUUCAUUCAGUAUCUUUAAACCCCUACAAUUCUUUUAAGCAAACAAAUAUUGACCGUACGUUUCGUUUAUAAGAUGCGUUUGGACCAUCGCUGUAGACUAAAAAUACAAAUUGGUAGUGGAAUUAAUUUUAGAGAAUUGGACAGUAAAUUUUUUUAAUAGUUAUAUUGUUAGAACUAAUUAAUUUUAUUAGUAUAAGAGAUUAUAACUUAGUAGGAAUUAGUUUAAAAAUUAUUAUUUUAAUUUAGUUAUUCUUAGUGUAAGUAAUAUAGAAGUAAAUAUAUUAAUAAUUAAUUAAUAGAGCAUAUCAAUUCCAUGAAGGUCUAAACAUAUUUUAAAAGCUAAAAUUUUUGUUUUGCGCAAGAAAGUGUUCAUACUAACAAGUUAUUAUCUACCCAAAUUCAAAGAUGUGGUAAUAACUCGAAAAAAAUAAAUUACUCUUUCAAACAACUUUAGAAAAAUGUUUUAUUCCAUGUUAUACCUUUAAUGUCACAUAUACGUUUUUGUAAUAUACAAAAUAAUUAUUAUCAUGUGAAAAUAAGUUACCGGAUCUAAAAAAUUUAUUAUUUAUUACAAAUGUAAAAUUUAUUCUUAUUUACAAAUAUCAUAAUUUUUUAUCAUUGGAUAAAAAUUCUUUCUAUAUAAAAUAUCAUAAUAUACUCUAGUGCCUUUUACUUAUGCUGGUUUAUCAUGAUUGGGAUUACCCUUUUUUUUUUUUUUUCUCCUAUGAUGCGCUGCUGGCGGGAACUUUUGACAAACCCGUUUUAUUCAAAGUGCUUUUCUAAAGAGAUUUCCUCAAUGUUUUUUAGUGUCGGUAGCCCUCUACUAUAUAUUCUUUUAACCCCAACUAUUCUUUUAACUAUGAACGAUAUUUCAAAGGCACUCUGUGUCCGAUGGAUCUAUAUAUAUUUCUCUUUUAAACAGAAAAAGAAAUUCUAAUCAUUUUAGCAUGAAUAAAAAAAUUUCAUAUAGAAAAAAAUACACAUCUAAUAACAGUAUACUUUUCAUGGCUUCAGACAGUAGAACUCACCAUUGAAGAUUAAAGAAAGACGAUUAAAAAAAAAAAAGGGCUAAGUUGUUGAGUUAUCCAAUUUAAGUCAUCUUGAUUUUGCAGGAGCCUGGAGUUUCCCCUCUCUUCUGGUAUUGUUAGCCUUCUUACUCGUGAAUCUCAUUUCUAUUCUUUUACAGAUUUAAGGAAAUAAUCAUAAAAUCUAGCUAUUUUUUUUCUUUAAUUAAUUGUUGUCUUCUCUCGCUUCUAAAGUUAUUAAAGGUUAUUCUUAAAAUAAGGUAGGUGUCAUUAGAAAAAAUUAUGAUCAUUUUAAUAUUUUUUGGUAAAAAAAGUAAAGGGAUUUGAGAGGACUUUUGAGGGGUCCCGUAGGUCCACUCUUGGGUGGCGUACCAACUGGAAAGGAGUAAAUUGAGUCGGUCAAAAGUUUCCGUCAAAAGCAGACAUCGUGAUAAGCCGACAAAACUAAAAUUGUCGUUUUAACAGUUCCAAAAGCCUCUUCGUCUCACAAAGUUUUCCAAAUUCCAAUCAACGAAUGAAAUUCAAGGAGCAAAAACGACAAGCAUACCACCCAUCUGCGAAUAGCGAAACAGCUAGUAAAUAACAAAAUGAAUAAUUAGAUGUCGUGCACGAUUAAGAGUAUGAUAAAUUUUAUUUAUAAAAUAUUAAAAUACUCUUUUUUUUAACCGGAUUUUAGGUCCGAUUGUUAUUUACUCACAAAUACUCUUUUUUUUUUUUUAACAGUUCUGUAUUUUAACAGAUCUACCAGGUGUACUACCAUCUACCAAAAUGAUCACCUUCCAAGAAUUUGAAAAUAUUGGCAGAAAUCUUUGUGCAAUUAUAUUAUCAUGAAACUUUAACUUUAAUUUAUUUAUUCUUUGCUAAGGAACCCUUUGCUUUAAUUACUUCCUUUUUCUGCUUCUUCCACAUAAUUGUUUGAUUGUGGUGCUUUCAGUCAGAAUUAGAUAUCAUCGGGACAUUAAAUCUUUGAUAUACUCAAACAAUCAAUACCAGGUAUUUUAUUAUCUGAAUUAUUCAUAUAAUAACUUCAUUUUAUUUAUUUUUAUCUCAUGAAUGUUAGAGGCACUUUAGGUCCGUGAUUAAUUAUUUUUCACAAAUUAUGUUUUUGGUAUCUUCUUUGUUAUAUUUGCUUUUAUCCGCAAAAGUUGUUUUUGUAUUUGUUUUAUAAUAAAGAUACCAUUAGUUUCUAGAUAAUAUUAAAGCCGUUGGUAUCAUGUGUUAAAAUAGCAUUUGAAAAUCAAAUUUGUAAAAAUGUGUUUGGCAAUUCUUUUGGAAAAAUUAAAAAAAUAAAUUAUAUGUGGGACCCAUCUUAUUUCCAUUCAUUCUUUGCACAAUGCAUUAUGGUGAUUGAUUAAAGUAUACAAGCGGCAAGGAAUUAAUGGAAAUAUGUUCUUCAAUGUUAUUUUAACCAAAGAUUUUUUCAAUGUUAUUUUAACCAAAUCCAACAACAUGUCAGAAAAGAACUUUGUGAAAUAUGUUCUUGAUUCUAGUAGUUUCGCCAAAUAGAAAAUAACUUGCCAAAACAAUGCCAAACAGCUCCUUAGUUACAGAUAGUUAUUUGACAACACAAGUACUCUGUCUUGCAUAUAUUUAUAUAUUUUUAAUAGCUCUGUUUUGCAAAUUCCUGCUAAACAGUAUAAAGGCCCGUUUGGGAGUGAGGUGCUAUAGAUUUUAAGCUGCAGUUGCUGUGGAGUAAAAGCUAUAGAUGUGGAGUGGAAGUUGGUGGUGUUUGGUAAAAGUGUUGUAGCUUUUAAGCUGCAGCUACUGAUGGUGUUUGGUAAAUUUUAAUAGUUGUAGAGUGGAUGAAUAUUUGUAAUAAUUAAUUUUAAAUAACAUUAUUUUUAAUUGUUAACAAAUCAAUUAUUUUUCAUUCUUCAAAUUAUUAUAUUGACAUACAAUUACGAUUUAUUACUUACAAUGCCAUCUUUCAAGAUUAUUACAUCUUGAGUUGUGCUAUCAAUCGUUUCAUAACUUUCUUCAUGAGAUGCAAUAUGUUCGCUAAUACUAUGACUUGGUUCAUCCGUCAUUUCAUCAAAAUGAUCAUUAUUUUGUGAAUAUCUUCUGAUAUAAUUAUGCAAGGCCAUGGUAGCAAUAACUAUUUUCACCUGCUUCUUGAAUGGAUAGCUUGGCAUACUUCGUAAAAUCUUCCAUGUAUUCUUCCAAAAUAACUUUCUUCAUGAGAUUCAAUAUUGCUUAUAUGUUUGUUAUUUCAUCAAAAUGAUCAUAAUUUUGUGAAUAUCUUCUGAUAUAAUUAUGUAAGGUCAUGGUAGUAAUAACUAUUUUCACCUGCUUCUUGAGUGGAUAGCUUGGCAUAUUUCGUAAAAUCUUUCAUGUAUUCUUCCAAACCCUAAAAGUACGCUCAAUAACACUUCUCAAGGAAGAGUGCUUGCAGUUGAACAAUUCUUUAUAACCUAUUUGUUGGCUACCUCUACGAAAUCCAGGAAUAACCCUUAUAAGGUCCUAAGUACCCACAUAACUUCGGAUAUCUUGCAUCUACUAAAUAGUAUUUUCCUAAAAAUAAAAAGAAAAAUACAAAAAAAAUAACACAAUCUAAUCAAUUGAAUAAGUAUUUAAAAAAAAUUAGAAAUACAAACUUGGAGGAGGAUUUGGAUAAUUGAAUGCAGGAUUCGUAAUAGUUGUUUGAAAUACCCUUGCAUCAUGGGCACUGCCUUCCCAACCAGCCACUGUAAAUAUGAAUUGCAUAUCAAAUCUACAUACAGCCAUUACAUUCUGAGUUGGUGUCCCUCUUCUACCAAUAAAUGGAAUUUGAUCCUCCGAAGAUAUUGAGGCAGGUAUAUGAACACCAUCAAUAGCACCCAUACAAUCCUUAAAGUAAGGCAUAUAUCUUGAAUCUUCAGAUGUCUCUUUGGGAGUGGUAAUAAAGUCAGGAUCCAACGGUUUUAUCAAAUCUACGGACAUACAACACACACUAUCUAAUACCUUGUCAAAAUAUCUACUCACAGUCUCACUAGAAUGUUGGAACCGCUCCAUUGUUGACCGAUUUCCUACACUUUGUCCUAGUAUAACUAGAGCUUGCUGAAAAGUUAAGACAUAAUUAUGGAAGAUAUAUUAAUAAUAAUUUCAAUGCUAUUAUUUUUCCUCAAGCAAAUAGUCCAGAAAAAUUUCCAUAAAUAAGCCUCAUGGUAAGAACAAUGGAUAUAUUUUACAAAAUUUCCAUAAAUAAGCCUCAAGCAAUACUACAUAAGCGCAAUCUCGAAGCAAACAAAUAUGUGUGCUGCACUUUCGGCAGAGGUAGUAUUUUUAAUACCAAAAACACAUAUGCUAUUAUUUUUCCUCAAGCAAAUAGUUCAGAAAAAUUUCCAUAAAUAAGUCUCAUGGUAAGAACAAUGGAUAUAUUUUACAAAAUUUCCAUAAAUAAGCCUCAAGCAAAUAAAUCAAUAGCAACAAUUCAUAGACAUUGUAAAUGUAAUAUAAAGUGUAAUCAGUGACAAAAUAAAAAGUAUUCAUUCAUAAACAUAAUUUACAAAAUAUUGUUUCAUAAAUACAAUACAUUUUCACUUUGUAUUUUUCUCAUAAUUAAGCCAUUUCAAUUUGACAUUUGGAUCUUCUAUCUCAUUAAAUAAAUCCCUUUUCACUUUGUCCGUAAACAACUGACUAGCAAAUAACCACACUUUACUCCCAGCCUCAAUGUUUGGUAAAGAAGCAACCACUUCCAAUGCUUUAUAAAUCUCUUUCCCACUUGUAUCAUUUUGAGAGUUUGAAGUUGUGUUCCUUUUCUCUACUGCAUCAAUGAGACGAUCAAGCUGCCUUGACAGUUUUACAGCACCUCCUACUUUGUUCCCUUUUAAGGCCACUCUUUUACCUUUGCUUCCCUUACUAUCAUCAGACACAAUAUACUCAUCAGAGUCAGCAGUACUCUCAACACAAAGAGAUUCAGAUGCGUCAUUACUCUCUAAAGGAAAACCAGAUGAGGGAACCCAAACAUGCUCACCAGUAGCCACAGUGUUCAUGAACAUUAAAUUUAUUUUUUUCUCCAACUCUGGAUCAAUACCAUUUUUCCGAAAUCUACUGUCCUUACUAUCAUCAGACAUAAUAUACUCAUCAGAGUCAGCAGUACUCUCAACACGAAGAGAUUCAGAUGCGUCAUUACUCUCUAAAGGAAAACCAGAUGAGGGAACCCAAACAUGCUCACCAGUAGCCACAGUGUUCAUGAACAUUAAAUUUAUUUUUUUCUCCAACAUGUUCAUGAACAUUAAAUUUAAUUUUUUCCCCAACUCUGGAUCAAUACCAUUUUUCUGAAAUCUACUGAAUUGCGGAUUUUCCUUUAUUUUCUUUUCCCACCAUUCCUCACUUGCAUCAAUUGUCCUCAACCUAUGAUUCCACCCUAAACCAGCUUCCUUACCAAUCAAAUUCUUCCACAAUUUCCAAUCAGUUCUAAAAGAAUCCCAUUUAUUUUUCAUUUGAGUUCUGUUGUAAUCUAAUCCAGUUUCUUUAGUGAACUCCUUAAUCAAAUUUUCAUAUCCUUGGGAAGUCAAAUGAGUCCCAGGACGAUGUCCGGCAUCCACCUCUUUAAUGCAUAAGUCACAAAAUACAUCUAAAGUCUGGGGGUUCCAGGUAGCCUUACUAGUUGAGCUAUUAGACAUAAUUUCAUACACUUAAACCUAGGAAAAAAAAAUAUUUCUUUGUCAAACAACAAUACAGGAAAAAUAAGAACAUAGAAGUUAAUAAAAUUACUAGAAUCUCAAAAUUAAAAAAAAAAAGACGAACAAGUUACUUUAGUUGUUACUUUACUUGAAAUACUUUUCCAGCAAACAAUAAUGAUCAUAGAAUACUUUUCCAGCAAACAAUAAUGAUCAUAGCCCACGAAUAGAAACAAUUACAAGAAAGUCAAUAAAGCAACAAAAGACAAACCAGACUAGGAAACAAAGAAAUUCAACUAAACAAUCAUUAGGUACAAACUGCAAUUGCAUUUAGCCUCACAAUCUCAAAUUUGCUACGUGCUUUGAUAUUUCCUGUACUAUUCUUUUGGCCCAUCCCAAAGAAAUCGGAUAAGACAUAUACAAUUGCAACACUUUCUCCCUUCUUUUUUCUGUAAUUUGUAUGGCGACUUACGUAUAUAUAACCUAAUUAUUGAUGAUGGAUUAGAAAAUCAUUAGGCUUAUUAAUUAUACGCGUCAAAAGAAUGGUCGGGCAAUAAUUAGGUGUCCUGCUUAUACUCCUGUAAUUUAGUCAUUCUCUAGUAAAUAUUAUUAAAUAAAAAGAAACACAAACAAUUAAGCUUAUUGGUAACUGAAUUGGUGCCCAAAAAUAACAAGAGCAGGAGAAAGCAAACACACCCAAGAAUUUGACAAACUUCAACUUGAAAUCCAGAAUUUGACAAACUUCCCUUUGUUUACUGAAGCAUAGUAUUUCAUAACGUAGGCAUGCAUUUUAUUAUUUAAUGUUUUGUAGAACUAGAAACUCAAAUCAAACAGGGGCUGUGCAUGUCUACAAAAAGCAACUACAAAAAUAAAAACUACGAUAAAAACAAUGGUUACAAGCAAAUAAAUCACGCAUUACCCAUCACCCAUCAAUUUAUUCUAAACAAAAGCCCCAACAUUUUAUGAACGAAAAGGAAGAAAAUGAAAAAUUGCUUGCAAUAGAGUAAAGGAGCACUAAAAAAUGAACAACGGGUAGAGGAAAACGCACCACUGACAGAGGCGUAUGAGAGUGGCCAGUGUCGGAAUCGCAUCAAUUGGAACUCCCACAGUCGGAAUCGUGCUGAUGAGAAUGGGUGUUUAGGGUUUGUUUAAAAAAAUUGAUUUGAAAUAGAACUCCCACUGACACGACUGUUUGAUAAAAUUAAAAAAAAAAAUCGAUUUGAAAUAGAACUCCCACUGACACGACUGUUUGAUAAAAUGAAAAUGGAAUAAUAUAUAAGGCUAAUUUAGUAAUUAAACUUGUAGCUGGGAAAAAAAAUAUGCCAAGUUGUCAAAACACAGCUAUAAGUGUUACCAAACACUUUGGUGGCUGGGCUUUGGCAGCCCAGCCACCUCACCACACUCCCAAACGGGCCCUAAGUGAGAGAAGGAGACAUGCUGGACGUCCACCUCCGACUAUUUUGUGAGAGGUUGAAAAGGGUGUUAGCAGGUAAAGAAGGCGCGUUGCCGUUGCCUGAUUCAACAAAUUUAACCCCGCUUUUUGAAAACCUUCUUACGGAGACUGAAAUUAUUACUACUCUGCUCGGGAACUACGAAGGCGACAUGGCUCGUCAUUUGAUUCAACUCAUUGGAGACGAAUUCGAUGAAGACGAACUGCCUUUGCCUUUCCGGCAAUUCUUGGACGUAGAUGAAGUUAGAAUUUGAAGAUCAAAGGAAGAAGAUGAAGAUCUGAUUGUAUUUUGAUUAUCACAAAAACUAACUACAGUAAUGAGCUUAGCUCAGUAUUUAUAGUAGAAUCUAAUGCUUGCUAAUCACGCCAAUUACAGCUAAGUAAUCUAACUUCUAAAUAACAAAUGCUAAUGUAACUAACUUCAACACAAUUAACAGGAGCUGAUUUGUUAACUAAUUUCAGCCUGAUCCAACUGCAUGGGAAUCUCUUCAUAACAGUUUUGCCAUCUGGAAUUUAGCAGCUUCUCACGUGCACCUUUCACUUUCACUCCUAGACUAGCUACUGGAUUUACAGCUGGCUUGAUUCCAGCUGGCACUCCAACGUGUGUUGCAUGAGGUUCAGCUUCAUCAACUAAUUCAACACCCCUUCUCAAACUUAAGUCUUUUGGGAAGACUUUAAGUUUGCUUCUGAAGAAGUUGAACUUGGGAUAAGUUAGGGGUUUAGUUAAUAUAUUAGCAACUUGAUCAUUUGUAGACACAAACACAAUUUCAACUUCUUUCCUCUCAACUUUCUGCUGUACGGCCAAGGCGGAUGUACGGUACAGCAGAUCGUAAAACCUUCUAAGAUUCAAAUUUGAAUUUGUUAUGGAUGGUGGAAGGAAAAAUAAUUCGAUAUUAAAAAAAUUUAAAAAAAAAAGACAAACCAGAACAAGUUACUUUAGUUGUUACUUUACUUGAAAUACUUUUAAUCAAACACUUAGUUUACUUGAAAUACUUUUCCAGCAAACAAUAAUGAUCAUAGCCCACGAAUAGAAACAAUUACAAGAAAGUCAAUAAAGCAACAAAAGACAAACCAGACUAGGAAACAAAGAAAUUCAACUAAACAAUCAUUAGGUACAAACUGCAAUUGCAUUUAGCCUCACAAUCUCAAAUUUGCUACGUGCUUUGAUAUUUCCUGUACUAUUCUUUUGGCCCAUCCCAAAGAAAUCGGAUAAGACAUAUACAAUUGCAACACUUUCUCCCUUCUUUUUUCUGUAAUUUGUAUGGCGACUUACGUAUAUAUAACCUAAUUAUUGAUGAUGGAUUAGAAAAUCAUUAGGCUUAUUAAUUAUACGCGUCAAAAGAAUGGUCGGGCAAUAAUUAGGUGUCCUGCUUAUACUCCUGUAAUUUAGUCAUUCUCUAGUAAAUAUUAUUAAAUAAAAAGAAACACAAACAAUUAAGCUUAUUGGUAACUGAAUUGGUGCCCAAAAAUAACAAGAGCAGGAGAAAGCAAACACACCCAAGAAUUUGACAAACUUCAACUUGAAAUCCAGAAUUUGACAAACUUCCCUUUGUUUACUGAAGCAUAGUAUUUCAUAACGGAGGCAUGCAUUUUAUUAUUUAAUAUCUUGUAGAACUGGAAACUCAAAUCAAACAGGGGCUGUGCAUGUCUACAAAAAGCAACUACAAAAAUAAAAACUACAAUAAAAACAAUGGUUACAAGCAAAUAAAUCACGCAUGACCCAUCACCCAUCAAUUUAUUCUAACGAAAGCCCCAACAUUUUAUGAAUGAAAAGGAAGAAAAUGAAAAAUUGCUUGUAAUAGAGUAAAGGAGCACUAAAAAACGAACAACAGGUAGAGGAAAACGCACCACUGACAGAGGCGUAUGAGAGUGGCCGGUGUCGGAAUCGCACCGAUGAGAAUUUCAGUGACAGAAUCGCAUCAAUUGGAACUCCCACAGUCGGAAUCGUGCUGAUGAGAAUGGGUGUUUAGGGUUUGUUUAAAAAAAAAAUCGAUUUGAAAUAGAACUCCCACUGACACGACUGUUUGAUAAAAUGAAAAUGGAAUAAUAUAUAAGGCUAAUUUAGUAAUUAAACUUGUAGCUGGGAAAAAAAAUAUGCCAAGUUGUCAAAACACAGCUAUAAGUGUUACCAAACACUUUGGUGGCUGGGCUUUGGCAGCCCAGCCACCUCACCACACUCCCAAACGGGCCCUAAGUGAGAGAAGGAGACAUGCUGGACGUCCACCUCCGACUAUUUUGUGAGAGGUUGAAAAGGGUGUUAGCAGGUAAAGAAGGCGCGUUGCCGUUGCCUGAUUCAACAAAUUUAACCCCGCUUUUUGAAAACCUUCUUACGGAGACUGAAAUUAUUACUACUCUGCUCGGGAACUACGAAGGCGACAUGGCUCGUCAUUUGAUUCAACUCAUUGGAGACGAAUUCGAUGAAGACGAACUGCCUUUGCCUUUCCGGCAAUUCUUGGACGUAGAUGAAGUUAGAAUUUGAAGAUCAAAGGAAGAAGAUGAAGAUCUGAUUGUAUUUUGAUUAUCACAAAAACUAACUACAGUAAUGAGCUUAGCUCAGUAUUUAUAGUAGAAUCUAAUGCUUGCUAAUCACGCCAAUUACAGCUAAGUAAUCUAACUUCUAAAUAACAAAUGCUAAUGUAACUAACUUCAACACAAUUAACAGGAGCUGAUUUGUUAACUAAUUUCAGCCUGAUCCAACUGCAUGGGAAUCUCUUCAUAACAGUUUUGCCAUCUGGAAUUUAGCAGCUUCUCACGUGCACCUUUCACUUUCACUCCUAGACUAGCUACUGGAUUUACAGCUGGCUUGAUUCCAGCUGGCACUCCAACGUGUGUUGCAUGAGGUUCAGCUUCAUCAACUAAUUCAACACCCCUUCUCAAACUUAAGUCUUUUGGGAAGACUUUAAGUUUGCUUCUGAAGAAGUUGAACUUGGGAUAAGUUAGGGGUUUAGUUAAUAUAUUAGCAACUUGAUCAUUUGUAGACACAAACACAAUUUCAACUUCUUUCCUCUCAACUUUGUCUCUCACAAAAUGAAUGUCUAUUUCAAUGUGUUUGGUUUUAGAGUGCAUUACUGGAUUUGUAGCUAUAGCAGCUGCACUUGUGCUAUCACUUAGCAGCAAUGGAGUGUUCUAAAGUAUGACAUCCAGUUCUUUAAGAAUUGAGCAGAUCCAAGUUAAUUCUGAACAGGCCAAUGCCAUAGCUCUGUAUUCUGAUUCUGCUGAUGAUUUGGAAAUUAUGCUCUGCUUCUUUGAACUCCAGCUGAUUAAGUUUUCACCUAAAUAAACACAGUAGCCACUAGUUGAUCUUCUGUCAUCAAUAUCACUUCCCCAGUCAACAUCAAUAUAUAACACAAGGUCUACAAAAUCAGAUCUCCUAAAAGUCAAACCAUAGUCUAUGGUUUCCUUGAGAUAUCUCAGUACUCGUUUACAAGCAAUCCAGUGAGGUUGUAAAGGAUUAGCCAUGAAUUGGCUUAACUUGUUCACAACAUAUGCUAUUUCAGGCCUUGUUAAGACUGUAUAUUGUAAUCCUCCAAUAGCUUUUCUGUAUUGAGUUGCAUCAGUAAGGUCUUCACCCAUGUUUUUGCUCAGUUUUUCUGUUGUGGCCAGAGGAGUAUCAGUUCCCUUGCAUUCUUUCAAAUCAAACUUGGCAAGUAGAUCUUUUAUAUACUUUGACUGGGAUAAUAUCAAAGUUUCAUCAUUUCUAAUAACUUCAAUACCAAGAAAGAAAUUAAGAUUUUCCAAAUCCUUAACAUGAAAAGUGCUGCUGAGGUUGCUGAUAAGCUGUUCUAUUUCAGCAUUGUUAUUUCCAGUCACUAUUAUAUCAUCGACAUAAAUCAACAACAUAAUCAUAUCAUUUCCACUUCUCUUAAAGAAUAAAGAUGUGUCUGACCUGGUUCUAGUAAACUACCAAGACUCAAGAACUGAUCUGAGUUUAUCAAACCAUGCUCUUGGUGCUUGCUUCAAUCCAUAGAGGGCCUUUUUUCAGCUUACACACAUAGUUUGGAUGCUCUGAAUUCUCAAACCCUUCUGGCUCUGGUGGCUUUCGGGAACUUAAGGUUUUGCACCUGAAAUCAAUGUAUUGGCUAGAUGAGUGGACGAUGGCGGCAGGAGCAAUGCCAAAACUUGAAAGCUUAAUUGUCAACCCAUGUGCUUACUUGAGAAAGCUCCCAGAAGAGCUGUGGUGCAUAAAGAGCUUGCGCAAAUUGGAUUUACAUUGGCCUCAGACAGAGUUGAGACAGAGGCUACGGACUUUCGAGGAUAUGGAGUGGCGGUAUGACAUCCAGUUAUAUCCUUACGGAAUCUGAUGGAUGGAAUUGGGUGAGUUUUAAUCAUAUCUGAACUGGGGUUCUGCAGUUCUCGAUCAAUAUCCACCCGGAUUAGAAAAUUUAUUCUAUUUGAAGUACUUGAAAUUGAAUAGCCCUUCGCUCAAAUGUCUUCCUUUUAAACCUUCAAACACUAGAAAUGCCAUCUAGCUACAUAGAUCAUUCACCAGAGGAUAUUUGGAUGAUGCAAAAACUCAUCCAUCUGAACUUUGGUUCCAUCACUCUGCCUGCACCUCCAAAAAAUUAUUACCGCUCUCUGAAAAAUCUCAUUUUCAUAUCGGCCUUACACCCUCGUAGUUGUACUCCAUAUAUAUUAGGUAGACUUCCUAAUGUGCAAACUCUUAGAAUAUCUGGGGAUUUGAGUCACUAUCAUUCCGGGGUUUCCAAAAGCCUGUGCGAACUACACAAACUUGAAUGCCUGAAAUUGGUGAAUGAAGACAAGACGUGGCAGCUCUCAAGGAUGGUCCUGUCUGAGUACCAAUUUCCUCCAAGUCUGACCCAACUCAGUUUAUCAAAUACUCAGCUAAUGGAGGAUCCUAUGCCGAGAUUAGAUGAGCUUCCACACCUUCAGGCGCUGAAACUGAAGCAAAACUCAUAUUUAGAAAGAAAGCUGGCUUGCGUUGGCUCUGGUAGUUUUCUGCAGCUCAAGAUUUUGCACCUAAAAUCAAUGCUAUGGCUGGAGGAGUGGACGAUGGGAGCAGGAGCAAUGCCAAAACUUGAAAGCUUAAUUAUGAACCCUUGUGCAUACUUGAGAAAGCUUCCUGAGGAGCUACGGUGCAGAAAGAGCUUACGUAAAUUGGAGUUACAUUGGCCUCAGCCUGAGUUGAGGCAAAGGCUACGAGCUUUUGAGAAUAUGGAGUGGCGGUAUGACAUCCAGUUUUAUCCUUCUGGAAUCUAACGGAUUGAAAGAGGUGAGUUUUACUCAGUAGAUUUAUAAAUGUAUAAUUUAUCGUAAAACCUUCAAAGGUUCAAAUUUUAAUUUUUUAUCGUAAUUUCCUGACUUUUGUAGGAAAAAUCCAAGUGGAAAGCAUCAUAUAUAAUUGCCGUCUGGCUUUCAAUUUCAACUGCAAUUCAGCAUUGAUCCGUUUAAUUAUCUUCAUUUCAGCUGCCUUUUUGGGGCACUAUUUUGAAGCAGAUUUGCCGCUAGUAAUUCCAUGGUUAGUCUAUUGUCUAUAAACUUGAAUAAGGUAUGUUUUUGCUUUUGUUGAUGUGGAUUUUGUGUUUUAGGAACUGUUGUGCGAUUAGGACUCCAGUUAAGUGUUGUUCAUGAAUAAAGGGUUUGGCUGUCCUUGGACUGUAUGGAAAAAGACAUCUAGUCAAAUUUUCAUCAAGUCACUGAGGGAAUUGCACCAAUGUAAAUAAUCCUCAGUGCCGUCAUGCUUUAUUUGAAUUUUAAUUUGUAUCACAAAAAGAUAUGUAUGAACUGUAAUUUGCAAAUUUGCCGUAUUACUUGUAAUCCCUCACCAGCAAGACUACAAAUUAUAAGGUAAAGUCUGGAUCGGCAUUCGUGGGCUAAAUUGCUGACCAGCAAAUGCUUGAUCUUGAACCGUUUGAUCGGUCCAAGAAAAUGAACAUCGCUUGAGUUACAUGGAGUAAUGUAGAUAAGCUCACUAACGCUCAAAAUAACUUGCUAUCUCAGACUCGGUUAAAACUUAAAAGAAAAGUGGGGGUUGUUAGAGUUAUAAAUAUAAAGAAUAUUUUUGUAAUGAUUCUGCUGAUGUGGCAGCUGAGUAAGCAAGGUUGUUAUUUGUUAGUUUGUAAGUUUGUUAUAGAGCUGAGAAGUUUGUUAAUCACAGCUAACUCUCAACACGUGUGUGAGCAAUGCAGAAGGUUCUGGAUCUUAGUAUAUAAGAUCAACCUCUGUAUUCAUAAUUCAUUGAAUAAAAUUCGAUCUAUUGUUUCUUAUAGUUUCUCUUAUUGCUCAUUAAAUUUUCCUUCAUUUUCUCUGCAACCAAACAAGCAUAAAUAGCUUGGUUAAACUUCAAUUUGGUAUCAGAGCCACAUCUAGUCUAAUCUCAUGGCAUUAUCAAGCUUGACCACAAACAUCUCUUCUUCAGCAACAACCUUUACUUUCACAACUCCAAUAAAACUUGAUCGAUCAAAUUACUUAAUCUGGAAAUCUCAAAUUCUAUCCUCAGUUCGAGCAAAUGAGCUUGAGAGUUUGCUUGAUGGAUCCAGAAUCUGUCCAGAUCAAUUUCUCUCAAGCACUCAAGGAAAUUCAGAUGCUAUGUUCAAUGCUUCUACAAGUUCAACUGUUACUUCACAAGAGAAUCCUGAGUUUCAUGUGUGGAAGAAGCAAGAUCAGAUGCUGCUGAGCUGGCUGCUAUCCUCUAUCAGCAUUGAAAUCCUCAGCCUUGUGGUAAACUCUAAAACCUCUUAUGAACUGUGGUCUAGUUUAGAGCAACAAUUUGGAUCUGAAACUGCUGCUAAGAAAGUUCAUCUCAAAAUGAUGUUGAAUAAUCUGAAGAAAGGAUCUAUGACUAUGACAGAAUAUUUUAGUAAGUUGAAGUCAGUUACAGAUGAGCUUGCUAUUGCUGGAAGUCCUGUUAGUUCUUUGGAUUUUAUAACUCAUCUCAUCUCUGGAUUAGGUCAGCCUUAUUAUCCAGUAGUUGUGUAUAUUGAAGCAAAUGUUCUAAAAAUGAGUAUUAAUGAGGCUUAUUCAAUGUUGUUGACACAUGAGGCACGUUUAGAAAGCAAUCAAUCUAAUUCUUUCAAAGAAGUGAAACAGAACUAUGCUGCUAACUUAGCUCAGGCUGGGAAUAAUCAAAAGAAAGUUAACAAUCAGGGAGGCUGGAAUGGAAACACUGGAAACAAACCUGGAUUUCAUAACUGGAAUGGAAACUUUACAAACAGAGGAGGUUUCAAUCCAGGAAGGGGACAAAAUUCAGGUAGAGGACAAUGGAAUAAUAAUUGGAAUAACUGGAAUGGAAAUCAGGGUAGAGGCAAUUUUGCUGGUGCUGCUAGAAAUUUUUCUGGUAGAUUUCCUGGUGGCUAUAAUGGAUUUGGAAGAGGAGGAGGCAGAGGAAAUAUUGUUUGUCAGAUUUGUUUCAAACACAAUCAUACCGCAGCUGAUUGCAAAGACAGAUUUAACAGAAAUUUUGUUCCUAAUUUUUCUGUGCAAGGAAACUUUCCAGAUCAGAAUCAAACUUCCAGAGCUGCUUUCAUGGCUACAUCAGAAGGAGUUGCUGACCAAGGAUGGUAUCUGGAUAGUGGAGCAACACAUCAUCUCACAAACAAUAUGGAGAACCUAGCUGAAGGUACACCUUAUCUUGGAUCUCAGUUGCUAUUAGUUGGUAAUGGACAAGGUCUUAGAAUUACUUCUAUAGGCAAUAUAUGUCUCCUUAUAUCUUUUGGUAAUCAAUUAAACCUUUCCAAUGUUCUGUGUGUUCCCAAAAUUACCAAGAAUCUGAUUAGCUUAUCUAAACUUCUCUCUGAUAAUCAUAUAAUCAUUGAAUUUGUUUCUAAUCUUUGUUUCAUUAAGGACAAGAUGCAAGGAACUUUGCUGGCACAGGGGAUUGCUGAGGAUGGUCUCUUUAAGCUACUGACUCAAGAUACACCUCUUUCUGAUUCUAAAGCCUUGGGUCUCAAACCUAGUUCAAUGUUGUCUGUUUUUUCUAAUAAAGAGAAUGUACACUCUUUGAAAGAGUUGAAUCACCAAACAAAUGUCUGUUCAAAUUUGAUCAAUUCCAAUAAUGAAAAUUCUGUCAGUUUUCUAGCUUCCAGUAGUCAGUCUAUGCAGUUGCUACACAAUAGGUUUGGUCAUCCAACCAAACAUGUCUUGCAAACAAUAAUGAAAAGUCUUCCUAUGCAUUCAACCUAUUCUCAAUCUCUUAAUUUUUGUGAUGCUUGUCAAUAUGGUAAAUUACAUCAAUUCCAUUUUCCAGUCACUGAUAUAAAAUCAAAAUUUCCUCUCCAACUCUUAUAUGCUGACUUAUGGGGUCCAGCUUCUGUGUUGUCUAUGGAUGGAUACAAGUACUAUAUUUCUUUUGUUGAUGAUUUCACAAGAUAUUGUUGGGUAUUUCCACUCACACUCAAAUCUGAGGCAUUAGACACCUUCAAAAUUUUCAAAUCUCUUGUCGAAAAACAGUUUUCUUUAUCCAUCCAAACACUACAAACUGAUAUGGGGGGUGAGUUUAUAGCCUUCAGAUCAUUUCUCCAACAAGAGGGUAUUCAAUUUAGAUAUAGUUGCCCCCACACUCACCAUCAAAAUGGUGUGGUGGAAAGGAAGCAUAGGCAUGUUGUUGAAACUGGACUCACACUCUUAGCUCAAGCUCAUUUACCUCUCUCUUUUUGGUGGGAAGCUUUUCAUACAGCCACUUACUUAGUGAAUAGAAUGCCAACACCUGUUCUAAACAAUUUAUCUCCUUUUCAAAAACUAUACAAUCAGCUUCUAGAUUACAAGUUUCCUAAAGUGUUUGGCUGUUCCUGUUUUCCUUUUCUUCAACCUUAUCAUCAUCACAAGCUAGAUUUUCAUAUUCAAAAGUGUGUCUUCAUUGGUUAUAGCCCCAUUUAUAAGGGCUACAAGUGUCUUGAUCGAACUGGGAAAGUCUUUGUUGCUAGACAUGUUACUUUCAAUGAACUGGAAUUUCCGUAUUCUGAACUGUUUUUGAAAAACAAGUCCAACACCUUAUCUCAUUCUGCUACCUCCACUCCAUCUUCAGUUCAUUUCUUUCUUCCUCAAACACCUGUUCUUAGUCACAGUAGCAAUGAAGAGCCAUCAGCUGCAGUCUCCAGUCCUGCUCUGUCUCCUGCAUCAGAGUCUCAUUCCUUGCCACAUUCUGUUCAUUCACAAUCUCUAGAUCAACUCUCAAGAUCUUCAAAUUCUUCUCCACCAGUAAUCUCUACUCAUCCUAUGGUUACCAGAUCUAAAGCUGGUAUCUACAAACCCAAAACCUACUUAGCUGUUUCUCAAGACCUUGAACCAUCCAAUGUCAAAGCAGCAUUGACAGAUCCUAGGUGGUACUCAGCUAUGAAUGAAGAAUUUGAAGCUCUCCAAAGAAAUCAAACCUGGACUUUAGUGCCUCCUGAAUCAGCUGGGAAAAUUGUUGGCAACAAGUGGGUUUACAGAGUUAAGUAUAAUGCUGAUGGCAGUAUCUCUCGGUAUAAAGCUCGGUUGGUUGCCAAGGGAUAUCAUCAAACUUAUGGGGUUGAUUUCUUUGAGACAUUUAGCCCUGUGAUCAAGCCUUGUACUGUCAGAAUCAUUUUAAGCUUAGCAGUCAUGCAUCACUGGCCUAUUAAGCAGCUGGAUGUAAACAAUGCUUUCCUCAAUGGCAUUCUUACUGAAGAUGUGUACAUGCAUCAACCACAAGGGUUUGUUGAUUCCACUUACCCUUCUUUUAUUUGUAAGCUUAACAAGGCCUUAUAUGGUCUCAAACAGGCUCCAAGAGCCUGGUAUGAUCGAUUAAAGGAGUCACUAGUUCAAUGGGGUUUUCGAGUCUCCAAAUCUGACACUUCUCUGUUCAUUAAGCAUGCAGGGACAAAUAUCUUGCUCAUUCUCAUUUAUGUGGAUGAUAUUUUAGUCACGGGUUCAGAUUCAAAGCUCAUAGGAAAUGUUAUUCAGCAAUUACAUUCUGAGUUUGCUUUGAAGGAGCUGGGGGAUUUUCAUUACUUUCUUGGUAUUGAAGUUACUCCAUCUGUUCACGGUAUUCAUCUAUCUCAAACUAAGUACAUUGGUGAUAUUCUUAAAAGGGCAAAUAUGCUGGACAGUAAAGGUUGUGUUACACCUAUGAGUACUUCUGAGAAGCUGCACAAGGAUACAGGUGCUGCAUUUGAUAAUCCAUCUUUAUACAGAAGCAUUGUGGGAUCUCUUCAAUAUGUUCUGUUAACUCGACCAGACUUAGCUUUCACAGUCAACAAGCUUAGUCAAUUUUUAUCAGCUCCCACCAUUCUUCAUUGGCAAGCUUGCAAGAGGGUGUUACGGUAUCUUCAAAGUACAGCUGAUUAUGGUCUUCAGUUUUUCAGUUCUGGUUCUUUAAAGUUAACUGCCUACUCUGAUGCUGAUUGGGGAGCAGAUCCUGAUGAUCGCAGAUCUGUUGGAGGUUAUUGUGUGUUUUUAGGUUUCAAUCUCAUCUCUUGGUCCUCUAAGAAGCAGCCCAUUGUGUCCAGAUCAUCAGCUGAGUCAGAGUAUAGAGCUCUUGCUAUGGCUACCUCUGAAGUUCUCUGGAUUACAUACUUAUUUCAAGAGCUUAACAUAUCUUUUGAUCAGAUUCCUCUUCUGCAUUGUGAUAACAAGAGUGCUGAAGCUUUGGCCAGUAAUCCUAAAUAUCAUGCUCGUACUAAACAUAUUGAGCUUGACCUCCAUUUUCUCAGAGAGCAUAUUGCUCAACAACAGCUUUCAGUUACUUAUGUUCCCAGUUCAGAUCAAUUAGCAGAUGUUCUUACUAAGCCCCUCUGUUUUGAUCAGUUUGCUUAUUUGCGCAGCAAGCUUAAUGUCCUUUCACGACAUCAAGCUUGAGGGGGGAUGUUAGAGUUAUAAAUAUAAAGAAUAUUUUUGUAAUGAUUCUGCUGAUGUGGCAGCUGAGUAAGCAAGGUUGUUAUUUGUUAGUUUGUAAGUUUGUUAUAGAGCUGAGAAGUUUGUUAAUCACAGCUAACUCUCAACACGUGUGUGAGCAAUGCAGAAGGUUCUGGAUCUUAGUAUAUAAGAUCAACCUCUGUAUUCAUAAUUCAUUGAAUAAAAUUCGAUCUAUUGUUUCUUAUAGUUUCUCUUAUUGCUCAUUGAAUUUUCCUUCAUUUUCUCUGCAACCAAACAAGCAUAAAUAGCUUGGUUAAACUUCAAUUGGGGUCUGCUGACACCAAAAGGAUUAAAGGAAUCUCUUUUGGAAAGAAUCGAAGAGGAAUAAAGUGCGGAAAUGAAGAUAAAGCAAUAAAAAAUCAAAGAUAAGCUACCAGUAAUCUAAUUAGAAGGUACUAAAAUAUAUUUGUCUAAAUUUAAAUAAAUUUCCACUGCCAAUUUGUAGUUUCAAUUCCCAAAAAGGGUCCAAAAAAAUGCCAGAUAUUGCCUUAGUUCUGAGGAUAUGGAGUGGCGCUUUGACAUCCAGAUAUUGCCUGAUGGAACCCAAUUGAUUAAAUGGGGAGACUUUUACUAUCUUAUCUGAUAACUCAACCUUUAGUUACUUGCCUGAUUUGGUAUGCCUUCUUUCCGUUUCCUCAGUAGAUUUAUAUCUAUUGUAAAACCUUCAAGGGGUCAUAAAAAUGCCUGUCUAAUUGUGGUUGCUUCAAAAUGUCAAAAUUACAUCUCAACGUAGACUGAACUCGAGUAGAAAAGCAGCAGAGAAACAAAGAAAGAUUCCUCUGUAUUCUAUUUCAAAAGAACUGUAAAAGCACAUUUUCAUUUAUGAUUCUUAUUUCCUUUUACUUGUGUAGGUAAAGUCAGAGGCGGAGACAUCAUGUAACUCAGCCUGUUCAUUUCCAACUUUAAUUUAGCAUUUUUGAGCUGUCUUUUGGGGAUAUUGUUUCGUAUCGGACUUGCCAUGCUUAAGUUAUUGUCUAUGGACUUGAAUAACGCCUUCCUUUUUAUUGAAUUUUAGCGUCUAUGGGUACAUAUUUUUUGAUUUUCUAACAGUCGUAUGAUUAGUUCCAAUUAAGUUUUCUUCAUUCGUGUGUGGUUUGCUCUGCUGUCUCAAAUUCAUCAAUGUGAAUAUGACACUCUUCAUUAAUACGCCAGUUAAGCACUUCAGCUCUGAUGUGUAUUAUCUCUACUUAUUUUUCAGCUUUAUGCCUUUAGCUACUGGACAACAUUAACCCUAUGCCAGUUACAAUCUCAAGAUUUGUGCAGAAGACUGCUUUUAUAAUUGUAAAUUUGUAAUGUUACUUGUAGUCCCUCAACGGCAAGAGUAAAUUUGUAAAGUUCACUGAACAUGCAGCUUUUCUGCAAAUCAGGUCUUUGCACAAAUUAAAUCUGGUUGUGAGUCUAUAGACAAUUGAUUGUUAAUUUCCAUUUUUUCCAACCCAAGCGUUUAAAGAGGAUACAAAUUUGCAGAAGCCACCAGAGUUGCAUCAACUAUUGGAGUUAGUGCAGAUAAGAUUACAAAUGCAUAAAAAUGGAAAUUAACAAUCAACUUGAGAAAAACCAUAAAAAUGCCAUAGUAGUUAAGGUUACUUCCAAUGCAAGACUCAAAUCGGGUAGCAAAACUGAGGGGGUUAAGCCACACAUUGUAGCAGAGAAAAAAAGAAAUAUCAUUCUGUAUUCUAUCUAAUAACUGUAAAAGCGCAUUUUCAUUUAUGAUUCUUAUUUUGCAUUCUAGGUAAAAUCAGAGGGGGAUACAUAAUAACUGCAGCCGGGCUUCCCAAGUCAACUGUAAUUCAGCAUCGAUCCUUUACAUACAUUUCAUUUCAGCCGUCUUUUCGGGAAGUUGUUUUGAAUUCGAUUUGCGAAUUUGAUAAAAGUGAGACUGCGAGUAUUGUUGCAGAUUAGCCCUCCCAUGUGAUGCGCACGUGACCCCCUCAUUCUCAUUUGACCACAUCAAACUUCAGUCAAAGUUGUUACUAAGCGCGGCAAAGUUUGUUUAUGCCGUUUCUGUUUUGUACUUUAAACACAGAUGUAAUCAUCACUAGAUUAACAAAUAAUCAUAAUUAAAGCGAUUGGCACCUAUGAUGACUUGUGUCUACUGUGAUAUUGAGUAAAGCAUACGCUUAUGCGCACAAAAAUAUUAAACAAAAGAUGCCUUAUAUAUACAUAUAAAUGUUCUUUUAGGCCUUAUUAUGGUGAGUGAGUGACCAGUGAGUUAUAGUGUCUAUAAUGUCUGGACUUAAUGAAAUAGUUGAUUGACAGUUAUCUCUAUGCACUUUGCAAUAUGAACAACUUGUAAGAUUUCACUCUACACAGUAAUUUUCUGAUUUUAAUUCGUUGUAAUUUUUUGUUAAUCCUAUAUAAUUAAUUUCUAGUUUUUUUUUUGGGGGGGUAAAAAUUAUAGGCUUUCAGAAGAAGGACAAGACUUUUUCAUGUCGUAUGACGAAGUUUAUAAUAGUUUUGUUUAAGAGUGUGAUGAUAAAUCUUUAUAUUAUCAUGAAACUUUAGCUUUAAGAAAUUUGAGACGUUCUAUUUUCAAAAGACAUUUAGUACUAUUUUUUUUUCAUUCCCAUCAUUUAUCUUAUUUAAUUUAUUUUAGAAACUAUAAGGCAGAGUUUAUUUCUCUUUUUUUUUUUAAAAAAAAUAAUGAUGUUAUUUUAAGAAUCUUCGUAUUACAAUCUGGUCAUCAUGAUUUAUUUUCAUUUUAUUUUGAGACAAAAGGAUUGUUUUUGAAUUUUCAUUAGCAAAUGUACAUUGCUUUCCUCUUUUGGAUUGGCAAAAACAGAAAACAAAAAUAAUUAAACAAGAUUUCAGGACAUCAGCAUCUUAUUCUUUUCUUGAACUAAGUCUUCUUUUUCUUUAGCUUUUGCUAAGAUGCUUUAUUAACCUUCCUCCUUUUUCCUAUUGUUAGCUUGGUAUCUCGUUCAUUUCUUGAACCGAGAUAUUUGCCUUUAUUUAGAAGUAAAGCUAAAAUGCUCUUUCGCCUUUCCUCCCUUUUCUCUUAACUUGUGUUUUCUUAUGCUAUCAUUUUCAAUUGUACCAAACACCAUUCAUUUAUCAAUAUCCAGUUUGAAUAAAAUUCUUCAAUUUGAUUUUUUUUGCUACUUCCACAUAACUGUUUGAUUGUGGUGCUUUCAGUCAGAAUUAGAUAUCAUCGGGACAUUAAAUCUUUGAUUACUCAAACAAUCAAUAACAGGUAUUUUAUUAUCUGAAUUAUUCAUAUAACUUCAUUUUAUUUAUUUUUAUCUCAUGAAUGUUAGAUCCACUUUAGGUUUGUGAUUAAUUAUUUUUCACAAGUUAUAUUUUUUAUUUUCAUUUUCGUGAGUAUCAAAAUAAUCACUAUCAUGUACACGUUGCUUGCAAUUUUAUUGUGUCAAAAUCAUCACCCACAAAUAAUAUUAAAUGAAAUUCAAUCGCACAUUAAAAAAUAUGUGCAUAUAAUUUUUUUUAAAACCAUUAUUCUCCCUUGGAGCUUACUAUUAUUUAGUACACGAAAUAAAUAAAUAAAUAGAUAAAUAACUUGAUGGAGUUGUUUGCGAAUAGGAAUUACUAUUUAUUUAGUUUCGAGUUUCUGCAUUACUAUUAUCUUUUCUGUUAUAUUUGCUUUUAGCAACUCAAGUGCAUAUGAUUGAGGAUGCAUUUGGUAUCUUCUUUGUUAUAUUUGCUUUCAUCCUCAAAUGUUGUUUUUGUAUUUGUUUUAUAAUAAAGAUACGAUAAUAUUAAAGCACGUUGGUAGCCUUUGUUAAAAUAGCAUUUGAAAAUAAAAUUUGUAAAAAUGUGUUUGGCAAUUCUUUUAGAAAAAUUAUAAAAUAACUUAUUGUGGGACUCAUCUUAUUUCCAUUAAUUCCUUGCACAACGCAUUAACCUGAUUGAUUAAAGUGUUAUUUCAAUGUUAUUUUCACCAAAUCCAAGAACAUGUCAGAAAAGCACUUUGUGAAAUAUGUUCUUCAUUCUAAUAUUUCCGCGUAAUAGAAAAUGACUUACCAAAAACAAUACCAAACAACUCCUUGGCUAUAGAUAAUUAUUUGACAACAUAAGUACUGAGUUUUGCAUAUAAUUUAUAUAUUUUUAAUAGCUCUGUUUUGCAAAUUCCUGCUAAACAAUACAAGUGAGAGAAGGAGACAUGCUGGACGUCCACCUUCGACUAUUUUGUGAGAGUUUGAAAAGGGUGUUAGCUGGUGAAGAAGGCACGUUGCCGUUGCCUGAUUCAACAAAUUUAACCCCACUUCUUCAAAACCUUCUUACGGAGUCGGAAAUUAUUGCUACUACUCUGCUGGGAAACUAUGAAGCUGACAUGGCUCGUCAUUUGAUUCAACUCAUUAGAGACGAAUUCGAUGUAUCCAAAAUCUUUUUGCUUUUUUUGCAACUGUUCAACUUAGAAGAAAGCGAUGAAGACGUUAAAAGACCAGACAUUUUGGAAAUUCUGGAGGACAUCAAUCACUUUGUCCAUGAAUCUGAGGAAGCCAUUGACACAUUCAUCAUCAACAUCAUGCAGCAGCAAAACAGUGAAAUCGAAAGUGAGAGCAGUACUAAUAUGGCUCUUCUUAUUGGACUCCACAGUAAAAUCAUUGAUAUUAGAAAUCGGAUGCAACAACUUCCACCCAGCGACAAUGGUUUUGAUAUCAGUGAGCAAAGUAACGUAAUCAUUCGCCAAUUGAGUGAGGGACAGCCUCAGCUUGAUGUCAGUGAAUUUGAAAGGGGCAGAGAGAAGUUGUUUGAUCUAUUGAUUGAGGGACCAUCUGGGCUUUCGGUGGUUGCAAUUCUCGACAGCAAUGGCUUCGAUAAGACUGCUUUUGCUGCUGAUACUUACAAUAAUAAUCAUGUCAAGUUCUAUUUUGACUGUCUUGCUUGGGUCAGGGUUUCUAUAGCCUACGAUUUUGGCAAGAUAUUGGAUGACAUAAUCAAGUCUGUGAUGCCUCCAUCUCGGGUUAGUGUAAUUAUCGGUGAAGAUUAUCAAUUGAAGAAAUCUGUUCUUCGAGAUUACCUAACCAACAAGAAGUACUUUAUUGUGCUUGAUGAUGUCUUCGCUUACAGUGAGAUAUGGAGUGAGCUCGAAGAACUUCUUCCUGAUGAUGAGAAUGGAAGCAGAGUAUUGAUAACAGUCACUGAUCCAGACCUCCUUGAGUCGUUGGAAAUGGAAAAUGGAGAGAUGAUUUGGCGUGGUUCAGUGCUCUUUGGAGGACCAUUGAUCAGAUUAAAGCAUGAAGCCUGGCAAUUUUUCAUCCUACACUAUGGAAGUAUGCCAUUAGAAAAUUAUGUUCAAGGCGAAACGAUUCCGACAGUUUGGAGACAAAUUUUUUCUGUGUUGGAGUUACCUUUUCACUUGAAAAUCUGCUGCAUCUAUUUGUGUGUCUUCCCUGCAAGUAUUGAGAUAUCCACGAGGCAAUUAUAUCAGUUGUGGGUAGCUGAAGGUUUCAUACCAUACAACAGUGAAGAAACUGCCAAACAUUACUUGAAAGAACUAAUCCAUCGUGGCUUCAUUCAAGUGAGUAAGAGAAGAUCUGGUGGCACAAUUAAAGCGUGUUAUGUUCCAAGUAUUGCAUAUACUUCAUUGGCUUUGAUGGCAAGAAAGACGGAAUUUGUAUCUUCAAUCUUUUCUGAAGAGGAAUCACUGUCAAAUGUUAAACGGUACAUUGUUUUCAAAGAUCUGAUUGAGUUUUUAUCUUUAGAACAUUCUGACAUGUAUCUCCAAUCUUUUCUGAAUCACAGUUCAAAAAGCGAUCAUCUCGCUCUGAUACAUUGCGAGAAUUUUUGUAAAAAGUUCAAACACCUUCGGGUAUUGAACUUGGGUUCUGCAGUCCUCGACCAAUAUCCACCCGGAUUAGAAAAUUUAUUCUAUUUGAAGUAUUUGAAAUUGAAUAUUCCUUCGCUCAAAUGUCUUCCUUCACUGCUAUGCACCCUAUUAAACCUUCAAACACUAGAAAUGCCAUCAAGCUACAUAGAUCAUUCACCAGAGGAUAUUUGGAUGAUGCAAAAACUCAUGCAUUUGAACUUUGGUUCCAUCACUCUGCCUGCACCUCCAAAAAAUAAUUCC
RNAcentral lists this long non-coding RNA (32973 nucleotides) under Citrus sinensis (sweet orange). Its description in RNAcentral is "long non-coding RNA (CSIN_LNC001126)". The record is from RNAcentral. Lineage: Eukaryota; Viridiplantae; Streptophyta; Magnoliopsida; Sapindales; Rutaceae.